Molecule: ribosomal RNA, 382 nt
Filed under: uncultured eukaryote
Lineage: Eukaryota
Description: partial 18S ribosomal RNA
Rfam family: Eukaryotic small subunit ribosomal RNA
Source: RNAcentral
CAAUAGCGUAUAUUAAAGUUGUUGCAGUUAAAAAGCUCGUAGUUGGAUUUCUGGUGGGAGCGAUCGGUCUGGCGCUUAGCGCGAGUACUUGCAUCGUCUCCGGCCAUCCUUGGGGAGAGUCUGUCUGGCAUUAAGUUGUCGGGCAGAGGAUCCUCAUCGUUUACUGUGAAAAAAUUAGAGUGUUCAAAGCAGGCUUAUGCCGUUGAAUAUAUUAGCAUGGAAUAAUAAGAUAGGACUUUGGUACUAUUUUGUUGGUUUGCGCACCAAAGUAAUGAUUAAUAGGGACAGUUGGGGUAUUCGUAUUCCGUUGUCAGAGGUGAAAUUCUUGGAUUUACGGAAGACGAACUACUGCGAAAGCAUUUACCAAGGAUGUUUUCAUUAA